This is a long non-coding RNA of Thamnophis sirtalis, 328 nucleotides long. RefSeq lists it as uncharacterized. The record is from RefSeq and is a predicted model, not a curated record. Lineage: Eukaryota; Metazoa; Chordata; Lepidosauria; Squamata; Natricidae.
GGAGGCGAGCUUCCAGUUCACUGACCAAGGGAGUCCGGGGACAUUCAAGACCAACUGCGUUACCGUCAUGCAGAUCCUGGACACGGACUACGAAACCUACAUAAUCACUUACGUCGUAAAGGGAUCAAGCGCCUUUCUGGCGCUUGCAGCCAAAGAGAAAACCUUGUCGGAGGCUCUAAGGAUGAAAUUUGCCAAUUUCGCCGCCUCUGUAGGCAUCUCAGGAGCGAUUGUGCCCAUGAUCCCACUAGAAGAGUGCUAAGGAGUCCAGAGUCCAGGGGCACGGAGGGGUCCUUGCCAGCCAACCCACACCUUGCUUGGGGAAGCAGGA